Eriocheir sinensis (Chinese mitten crab) is the source of this 2129-nucleotide long non-coding RNA. RefSeq lists it as uncharacterized. The transcript has 3 exons. The record is from RefSeq and is a predicted model, not a curated record. Lineage: Eukaryota; Metazoa; Arthropoda; Malacostraca; Decapoda; Varunidae.
GGGUUGUCCUGGUAGUAGAGACACAUCCCCCUCACGUAGAUGGCGUCCGCGUUGGUGCUGUCGAACUGAAGGAUCUCGCUGUGGAAAGGGAUGGAGUUUGGUUAAGUUCGGUUGGCUGUGGUUGUGUUAGGAGUCGUGUUAGAGGUUUGGGAUUUUUACACAAUCAAGAUAAAGUAUUUAGCUCUUUAUACGUCAAAAAUCACAAUCCUAAACCCACACAAUCGCUCACAAUCCUCAAAACUGUUAACUAAUAUGAGAUUCAACCUCCUUAGAAAUUUACAUAUAUUUUUCUAAUUUUUCAAAGUUUCUAUUAAGGUUAGAGAUUUGAAACUUUUACACAAUCAAGAUAAAGCAUUCAGCUCCUUACACACCAAAAAUCACAAUCCUGGAUCCACACAAUCGCUCACAAUCCUCAAAACUGUUAACGGAUAUGACAUUCAACAUCCCCAGAAAUUUACAUUGGUGCUGUCAAACUGAAGGAAUUAAGUUAAGUUUGGUUGGCUGUGGUUGUGUUAGGAGUCGUGUUAGAGGUAUGGGAUUUUUACACAAUCAAGAUAAAGUAUUUAGCUCUUUAUACGUCAAAAAUCACAAUCCUAAACCCACACAAUCGCUCACAAUCCUCAAAACUGUUAACUAAUAUGAGAUUCAACCUCCUUAGAAAUUUACAUAUAUUUUUCUAAUUUUUCAAAGUUUCUAGUAAGGUUAGAGAUUUGAAACUUUUACACAAUCAAGAUAAAGCAUUCAGCUCCUUACACACCAAAAAUCACCAUCCUGGAUCCACACAAUCGCUCACAAUCCUCAAAACUGUUAACUAAUAUGAGAUUCAACCUCCUUAGAAAUUUACAUAUAUUUUUCUAAUUUUUCAAAGUUUCUAGUAAGGUUAGAGAUUUGAAACUUUUACACAAUCAAGAUAAAGUAUUCAGCUUUUUACACGCCAAAAAUCACAAUCCUAGACCCACACAAUCCCUCACAAUCCUCAAAACUGUUAACGGAUAUGACAUUCAAAAUCCCCUGAAAUUUACAUUGGUGCUGUCAAACUGAAGGAAUUAGGUUAAGUUCGGUUGGGUGUGGUUGUGUUAGGAGUUGUGUUUGAGGUUUGAAAUUUUUACACAAUCAAGAUAAACUAUUCAGCUCUAUACAGGUCAAAAAUCACAAUCCUGGACCCACACAAUCGUUCACAAUCCUCAAAAAUGUUAACCACUGUGAUUUAGCAUUUUGCCGUCACAAUCCCAGAAGUCCAUGUUUGUUCUAAUUUUUCUAACUUUCCAUUCACGCUAGAGGUUCCAAACUUUCACACAAUCAAGACCAACUAUCCAGCUCCUUACACACCAAAAAUCACAAUCCUGAACCCACACAAUCACUCACAAUCCUUGAAAAUGUUAAUUACUGUGUGACUGAAUAUUCUACGGUCACCCCAAAAUUCUACACAAGUUCUCCUAUUUUUUUUACACAUUUCCAUUCAAGCUAGAGGUUCCAAACUUUCACACAAUCAAGACCAACUAUCCAACUCCUUACACACAAAAAAUCACAAUCCUAGACCCACACAAUCACUCAUAAUCCUCAAAAAUGUUAACCACUGUGAUUUAGCAUUUUGCAGUCACAAUCCCAGAAGUCCAUGUUCGUUUUUCUAAUUUUUCAUACUUUUCCAUUCAUGCUAGAGGUUCCAAACUUUCACACAAUCAAGACCAAUUAUCCAACUCCUUACACACCAAAAAUCACAAUCCUGAACCCACACAAUCGCUCACAAUCCUCAAAAAUGUUAACCACUGUGAUUUAGCAUCUUGCAGUCACAAUCCCAGAAAUCAAUGUGCGUUCUUCUAAUUUUUCUAACUUUCCAGUCAUGCUAGAGGUUCCAAACUUUCACACAAUCAAGACCAACUAUCCAACUCCUUACACACCAAAAAUCACAAUCCUGAACCCAAACAAUCACUCACAAUCCUCAAAAAUGUUAACCACUGUGAUUUAGCAUUUUGCAGUCACAAUCCCAAAAAUCCAUGUUCGUUCUUCUAUUUUUUUCUAACUUUCCAUUCAUGCUAGAGGUUCCAAACUUUCACACAAUCAAGACCAACUAUCCAGCUCCUUACACACCAAAAAUCACAAUCCUAGACCCACACAAUCACUCACAAUCC